This is a long non-coding RNA of Humulus lupulus (European hop), 302 nucleotides long. RefSeq lists it as uncharacterized. The record is from RefSeq and is a predicted model, not a curated record. Lineage: Eukaryota; Viridiplantae; Streptophyta; Magnoliopsida; Rosales; Cannabaceae. The transcript is spliced from 3 exons.
UGCUUUUACGCUAUAUGAUACGGAAAAAGGAAAAAUAGUUGUAAGUCUAAAGUAUUAUAGUCCAAAAUGCCGACAACAACCAAAAACCACAGAGUGCGGUAUCUACUGCAUGAAGUAUGCUAGGGAUCUCAUUUCACAACAAAGAACCAGAGCAUAUCUAUCGAAUAAUUUCAAUUCAGAUUUACCAUAUACUGACGCAGAACUUAAUGAAGUUCAAGAAGAGUGGGCAAAAUAUAUUCUACCGCAACUCGCUAAAUGAUGGCAUGCUUGCUUAGUACCUAUGUGAGGGGAUUUAAUCAUUU